UCCUCAAGGGAAAUGAGUGACGGCAUGUUUUUUUUUUUCUUUCCCUUUCAUCUCACCCAUUGCUUUUCCUAAAAGCAUCAGAAGGAUUCCAAGAUAGAUACUUCUAUGCAGGUGACAAGACAGUCCAUGAAGAAGAAUGCAGUGACUACCACUUUCCUGGUUGUCCAAGGGCAAAGGCUGGAUGUCAAUGCUAUGAUCCUAGUUGUUUAUUUAUUGCUGCUCCUCAUCUGAUACCCCAAGGAAUUAAGAGUCCAGCAGGCUGUCAGCUAAGCCCAAGUGCUACAAGGCAACUACAUAUUUGAUUUUGGCCAUGUUACACUUAGCCAGACUUUGCCUAACUGAAGCUAACCCUAGGGCAACAGCAAAUGGCAGCAGGUGGUUCUAAGCAACACUUUGUGGUAUUCAUGUCAUGUUGCUUAAAGAUGUGAAAAGCCCAUGUCUACCAGCUUCCAGUGUUUGACAAACCAGAUUGUUGUUGUAUCAUAUUCGAACAGACAGCUCUAUCUGAGUGCUCCAUGGAAAGCUUUCACAAGC
Mesocricetus auratus (golden hamster) is the source of this 534-nucleotide long non-coding RNA. RefSeq lists it as uncharacterized. The transcript is spliced from 3 exons. NCBI's taxonomy places the organism in Eukaryota, Metazoa, Chordata, Mammalia, Rodentia, Cricetidae. The record is from RefSeq and is a predicted model, not a curated record.